GGGAGAUGAGAGUGAGAGAGCAUGUUGUCUGUCUUAUCUCACUUUGAGGCAGAUUCACAGAGCAGAAAUGCUGAGUAUCCACCACUCGGGUCUGACAGUGCUGAUUGGUGCCCAGACUGUGGUGGCCAUGCACAGGAAACUCACCAAAACCCCACAGAAUAUCUGCCUACUUGCACUGUUUCUACCUAUCAGUACCACUGACCUUGAGACAGCUUUGUGAAGCAUUUACCAAGGCUGUAAAAAUUUGCUUUACAGGGGAAAUCAGCUUGGCAUUUUGUUAGCUCUGAACCCAUACACCGUGAAGGAAAACAUCCGCUCUUUUGAAGGUUUGCAUUUCCCUGAGUCAGGAAUCAUGAACAAGGAAGCCAAGAGGAAAACAGUAGUACAUAGCCCAGCAGAUACAAACAGGGGGAAGAGAGCUUUGCCAAAAAUUAA
This is a long non-coding RNA of Pseudopipra pipra, 435 nucleotides long. RefSeq lists it as uncharacterized. The record is from RefSeq and is a predicted model, not a curated record. The transcript has 3 exons. NCBI's taxonomy places the organism in Eukaryota, Metazoa, Chordata, Aves, Passeriformes, Pipridae.